Molecule: ribosomal RNA, 253 nt
Filed under: uncultured bacterium
Lineage: Bacteria
Description: partial 16S ribosomal RNA
Rfam family: Bacterial small subunit ribosomal RNA
Source: RNAcentral
UACAGAGGUCUCAAGCGUUGUUCGGAUUCAUUGGGCGUAAAGGGCUCGUAGGCGGCCAACUAAGUCAGACGUGAAAUCCCUCGGCUUAACCGGGGAACUGCGUCUGAUACUGGAUGGCUUGAAUCCGGGAGAGGGAUGCGGAAUUCCAGGUGUAGCGGUGAAAUGCGUAGAUAUCUGGAGGAACACCGGUGGCGAAGGCGGCAUCCUGGACCGGCAUUGACGCUGAGGAGCGAAAGCCAGGGGAGCAAACGGG